Molecule: ribosomal RNA, 487 nt
Filed under: uncultured Sphingobacteriales bacterium
Lineage: Bacteria; Pseudomonadati; Bacteroidota; Sphingobacteriia; Sphingobacteriales
Description: bacterial SSU rRNA
Rfam family: Bacterial small subunit ribosomal RNA
Source: RNAcentral
AGAAACUCAAAGGAAUUGACGGGGGCCCGCACAAGCGGAGGAACAUGUGGUUUUAAUUCGAUGGGUACGCGAGGAACCUUACCUGGGCUUAAAUGGGGAGUGACAGCUGUCGAAAGAUGGUUUUCUUCGGACACUCUUCAAGGUGCUGCAUGGUUGUCGUCAGCUCGUGCCGUGAGGUGUCGGGUUAAGUCCCAUAACGAGCGCAACCCUUACCGUUAGUUACCAUCAGGUUAAGCUGGGGACUCUAGCGGGACUGCCGCCGUAAGGUGAGAGGAAGGUGGGGAUGACGUCAAAUCAGCACGGCCCUUAUGUCCAGGGCUACACACGUGUUACAAUGGCCGGUACAAAGGGCAGCUACUUCGCGAGAAGAUGCUAAUCUCGAAAGCCGGUCUCAGUUCGGAUCGAAGUCUGCAACCCGACUUCGUGAAGCUGGAUUCGCUAGUAAUCGCGCAUCAGCCAUGGCGCGGUGAAUACGUUCCCGGGCCUU